This 143-nucleotide small RNA is filed under the name Marmota monax (woodchuck). Lineage: Eukaryota; Metazoa; Chordata; Mammalia; Rodentia; Sciuridae. The record is from RNAcentral.
GCUGGGUGUGGUGAUGCACGCCUGUAAUCUCAGCAACUUGGGAGGCUGAGGCAGGACAAUCAAAAGUUUGAGGCUAGCCUCAGCAACUGAGACUCUCAGCAACUAGGUGAGAGCCACAGCAACUAAGUGAGACCCUGCCUCAA